This 496-nucleotide ribosomal RNA is filed under the name uncultured bacterium. RNAcentral's name for it is "partial 16S ribosomal RNA". It matches the Rfam family "Bacterial small subunit ribosomal RNA", at positions 28 to 506 of the family's 1533-position model. The record is from RNAcentral.
GACGAACGCUGGCGGCGUGCCUAAUACAUGCAAGUUGAGCGAUGAAGAUUGGUGCUUGCCCCAAUUUGAAGAGCAGCGAACGGGUGAGUAACGCGUGGGGAAUCUGCCUUUGAGCGGGGGACAACAUUUGGAAACGAAUGCUAAUACCGCAUAACAACUUUAAACAUAAGUUUUAAGUUUGAAAGAUGCAAUUGCAUCACUCAAAGAUGAUCCCGCGUUGUAUUAGCUAGUUGGUGAGGUAAAGGCUCACCAAGGCGAUGAUACAUAGCCGACCUGAGAGGGUGAUCGGCCACAUUGGGACUGAGACACGGCCCAAACUCCUACGGGAGGCAGCAGUAGGGAAUCUUCGGCAAUGGACGAAAGUCUGACCGAGCAACGCCGCGUGAGUGAAGAAGGUGUUCGGAUCGUAAAACUCUGUUGGUAGAGAAGAACGUUGGUGAGAGUGGAAAGCUCAUCAAGUGACGGUAACGACCCAGAAAGGGACGGCUAACUACGU